CAAAAAAAUCCUAGGAUCGAGUCCGAGAAAGACAGUGCCGGUUUGGGUGCUUGGCCGUUCCCGUGCAAACUCAAGAAAUAUGUAUUGCACCUGAUACGUUUCGGAAAAAAGAUUACCUAAUCUAAAAUAUGCGAUUGAAAUGAUAGUUACACAUAAGUAUAAAAUGCGAGAUAAUACAUAUAUAAAUCCUUCUGGUGUCAUCUUUGGGUGGCACAACAAAGGCCACAUUCCAUGCUCUCCAUAUAAGAGAUUAUAUUGUACUCACAACGAUAUUAAACAAGAAUGUAUACAAAAAUAUAACAUCGAAGAUUGGGAAUUGCAACCAUACUACGUGUUGUUAAAUGAAUAUAACCUGGUGUUUUAUGUUCCACAAUGUGUUAUAACAUCGACAUACAAAGAAAUGGAUAAACCAUAUAUUGAAAAGGGAUAAUCCAGAUUUUGGAAAUUUUUCUGUAAAUUUAAAGGUACUCAUUAUGUGC
This is a non-coding RNA of Nylanderia fulva, 479 nucleotides long. Lineage: Eukaryota; Metazoa; Arthropoda; Insecta; Hymenoptera; Formicidae. The record is from RefSeq and is a predicted model, not a curated record.